GACGAACGCUGGCGGCGUGCCUAAUACAUGCAAGUCGAGCGAUGAUUAAAGAUAGCUUGCUAUUUUUAUGAAGAGCGGCGAACGGGUGAGUAACGCGUGGGAAAUCUGCCGAGUAGCGGGGGACAACGCUUGGAAACGAACGCUAAUACCGCAUAACAAUGAGAAUCGCAUGAUUCUUAUUUAAAAGAAGCAAUUGCUUCACUACUUGAUGAUCCCGGGUUGUAUUAGCUAGUUGGUAGUGUAAAGGACUACCAAGGCGAUGAUACAUAGCCGACCUGAGAGGGUGAUCGGCCACACUGGGACUGAGACACGGCCCAGACUCCUACGGGAGGCAGCAGUAGGGAAUCUUCGGCAAUGGGGGCAACCCUGACCGAGCAACGCCGCGUGAGUGAAGAAGGUUUUCGGAUCGUAAAACUCUGUUGUUAGAGAAGAACGUUAAGUAGAGUGGAAAAUUACUUAAGUGACGGUAUCUAACCAGAAAGGGACGGCUAACUACGUGCCAGCAGCCGCCGUAA
This 515-nucleotide ribosomal RNA is filed under the name uncultured bacterium. Its description in RNAcentral is "partial 16S ribosomal RNA". It matches the Rfam family "Bacterial small subunit ribosomal RNA", at positions 28 to 523 of the family's 1533-position model. The record is from RNAcentral.